CUAUGGUUUAUUGGAUCGUACCCGUUAAAUGGAUAACUGUAAUAACUCUAGAGCUAAUACAUGCCACGAAGCCCUGACUUGUACCUCUCGGUAUAGGGAUGGGUGCACUUAUUAGAUCAGAAACCAACCGAGCCUGUGUCAGCACCGCCUUCUCGGAGGUGGCUGGUGUGGACUCGUUGUCGUUCUGGUGACUCUGGAUAAUUGUUACAGAUCGCAGUCGGCCUUGCGUCGGCGACGGGUCCUUCAAAUGUCUGCCCUAUCAACUUUCGAUGGUAGGUGAUCUGCCUACCAUGGUGAUAACGGGUAACGGGGAAUCAGGGUUCGAUUCCGGAGAGGGAGCCUGAGAAACGGCUACCACUUCCAAGGGAGGCAGCAGGCGCGCAAAUUACCCACUCCCGGUACGGGGAGGUGGUGACGAAAAAUACCGAUGCGGGACUCUUCAAGAGGCUCCGUAAUCGGAAUGAGUGAACUCUAAAUCCUUUCACGAGGAUCAAUUGGAGGGCAAGUCUGGUGCCAGCAGCCGCGGUAACUCCAGCUCCAAUAGCGUAUAUUAAAGUUGCUGCAGUUAAAAAGCUCGUAGUUGGAUCUCGGUAUCACUGUUGCCUGCCAUUGCUUGGCCAGCUGGGUGCCGGGUGAUGCGGCUGAAUGCUGUGUUGCCUCUGGUGUCCGACUGUCGUCGAGUUGGUGUGGUGGCGGUGCCACCUUUUAGCCAUGUCUGUGGUGAAAUACCCACAGGUGUGGGCGAGUGUCGGGCGGUGCUCUACAGCUGUAGGGUCCGUCGGCUCGUCUGCAUGCCUUUGGAUGCCCUUCAAAAGGUGUCUGUGGGCGGAUGGCACGUUUACUUUGAACAAAUUUGAGUGCUCAAACCAGGCCGUUGUAGCCUGAAAAGUUUUGCAUGGAAUAAUGGAAUAGGACUUCGGUUCUAUUUUGUUGGUUUUCGGAUCCGAAGUAAUGAUCAAAAGAGACAGGCGGGGACGUUUGUAUGGUUGCGCUAGAGGUGAAAUUCAUGGACCGUAACCAGACAGACUAAAGCGAAAGCAUUCGUCAAGCAUGUUUUCAUUGGCCAUGAGCGAAAGUCAGAGGCUCGAAGACGAUCAGAUACCGUCCUAGUUCUGACCAUAAACGAUGCCAACUGACGAUCCGUGGUGGUAGUUUAAUAACCGUCCCCACGGGCAGUCCCCGGGAAACCUUUAAGUCUAUGGGUUCCGGGGGAAGUAUGGUUGCAAAGCUGAAACUUAAAGGAAUUGACGGAAGGGCACCACCAGGAGUGGAGCCUGCGGCUUAAUUUGACUCAACACGGGAAAACUCACCCGGGCCGGACACUGUGAGGAUUGACAGAUUGACAGCUCUUUCUUGAUUUGGUGGUUGGUGGUGCAUGGCCGUUCUUAGUUGGUGGAGCGAUUUGUCUGGUUAAUUCCGAUAACGAACGAGACUCUAGCCUGCUAAUUAGUGCGCCUGUCCUCUGUUCCUGUGUAAGCGGCUCUCAGCGCUACUGCCUUUUCAUGCUUGGCUGCCUGUGUGCUGUUCUGCUCACGGUCGGUUGCGCCUCUCGUCGGGUAGGCAAGUCUGUCGGCUUCUGCUGAUGAUGGCCUAUCUGUAUGUAGUUGGUGUGCUGGCUAGCUUGAGUGUUCAUGCGUGCGACAGUUGAGUUGAGGCGGUGGAGUAGGGGUUGGCUUCCGGGUUCGGCGCAGGUGUCUACUUCUUAGAGGGACAAGCAUAUACAAAUGCACGAGAUUGAGCAAUAACAGGUCUGUGAUGCCCUUAGAUGUCCGGGGCCGCACGCGCGCUACAAUGACGGUGCCAACGAGUUAGACCUCCUGGCCCGAAAGGGUUGGGCAAACUGGUCAAUCACCGUCAUGUCAGGGAUCGGGGCUUGGAAUUGUUCCCCGUGAACCAGGAAUUCCUAGUAAGUGCAAGUCAUAAGCUUGCGCUGAUUACGUCCCUGCCCUUUGUACACACCGCCCGUCGCUACUACCGAUUGAAUGGUUUAGUAAGGUCCUUGGAUUGGUGCCAUUGUAGUGGCUACCGAAAGGUAUGUCCACUCGACAGGCGCUGAGAAGACGACCAAACUUGAUCAUUUAGA
Molecule: ribosomal RNA, 2083 nt
Filed under: Djombangia penetrans
Lineage: Eukaryota; Metazoa; Platyhelminthes; Cestoda; Caryophyllidea; Lytocestidae
Description: SSU rRNA
Rfam family: Eukaryotic small subunit ribosomal RNA
Source: RNAcentral